GGUUCUUCCGCUUCAAAUUAGCUGACGAAACAAGAAAAAUAACUUACAGGACAAUGCUCACACUUCACAUUGAUGGAAGUCUGCAUCUUCGUGCAAUUGGAAGGACCAAGUCAUGAAGAUAAAAUAUGUCAAGCAAAUAAUUAUGGCCUGGUGAACCUUGUUUGUACUGUAUACAUCGAUACACAUAUCAAUUAUAAACAGCUGUGAUUUCAUCGUUAUCAAGCUUUAAUUUAGCAUUAGUGACUUUAAUUUGAAUCAUCACUGUCCAGAUAUUACUUGUGCAAAGGAUAAGGAGUGCUCCGUUCUGUUUCGUUCAUGUCAUUUUCCUUGCUUCCACAUCCAAAAGUUACAGCGCAUGGGAUGUUUCCAGGCUAAGCUUUAAAGCUAUUCCCCUACACAUGUUUGCCUUAUCUCAACAACCAUUCGUUCCGAGAAAUGGACAUUCUCUGCCAUCUUCACCUUCACAGAAACAUCACUUCUCUUUAUCCCCUCAACCUUCUUGUUUUUAGCACUCAAAAUCUUUGCUGGCAAAUCUAUCGAAGAAUCCCAACUAUCCACCAGUUUAAGGCACAAACUUUAACCAGCUUCUCUACUUCGACAGGCUCUAUGACUGCCAAGCUGAGCUUAUCGUUUCUGAUUCUGGAGUGGAUUGUGUAUUCUUUGAUAGUUUAUGUCGAUUUCUUUUAUGUAUAAAUCAAGUACUAAAGAUUUUCAUACCAAUAUAAUAAUAAAAUCAAUGAAAGUACACUUUUUGAAGACAUUUUUCUUUAUUAAAAAAUAUAAAAAAUUCAUUCACUUAAAAGAAUAAAAAUAAUAAUUUAAGUGGUCUCAUCGAAACUAUAAAUAAAAAAUCUAUAUACUCACCAUCCAAAAAUUCAUUCUAGACCAUAAAUAGAUCUUCAAGAGAAGACUGAAAGCUAACCAUCUAAAAAUACAAAGUAAUAUUUAUUAUCAAAUGUUUCAAACAACAGAAAAAAAAUAUGAAUUAUUUUACUACAUACUCAUCAUCUAUGCUAAUAAUAACUUUUAUAUAGUUAUUAAUAGUUAUUACAACUAUAAAUAAGCUAGAAAUAUAUCAAAUUAAUGUAAAAAUAGUUUUUUUAAAUGAUGAUUUUGACGGAGAGGUUUAUAUGGACAUCAAUAGUUAUUACAACUAAGAGAUUUGUUGUUAAAAAAAAUAUAUUUUAAACUUGUUAAAUUAUUAUAUGGUUUGAAACAAGUUUCUAAAUAAUGACAUGAAAAGUUUGACAAUGUUAUAUUAUUAAAUGAGUUUAAAAUCAACAAGGUUAAUAAACAUGUUUAUAUAAAAAAUACAGAUAAAUAUUAUAUUAUUGUAUGUAUUUAUAUUGAUGGAUGUUAAUUUUGGGUAUAAAUAUAUGAUCAAGUUUUUCAAACAAAAAAAACUAAUAUAAUUGUUAUGAAAGACUUGGAUAUUGUAGAUGUAUACAAGAAAUAAAAAUUUAUAGGAUAUUUGAUAGAUUAAUAUUGUCUUAAUUUUAUUAUGUUGAGAAAAUUCUUGAUUUUUUUAAAAAAUAACAAUAACACUAUCAAAACAUCAAUCAAUAUAAGUAUAUAUUUGUCCAAAAUAACAAAGAUGAAGAAAUACUAUAAUUGAAAUAUUCCCAAAUUAUUCGAAGCUUGAUAUAUAUUAUGAAUUAAACAAGAUCAUAUAUUGCAUAUUUAGUUAACAAAUUAAGUAUAUUUACCAAUAAUUAAAGUUUGAAUAAUUGAAAGACAAUAAAUAAAAUACUCAAAUACUUGAAAUAUAUUAUGAAAUAUGUACUACAUUAUACUAAGUAUCUGACAAUACUUAUGAGAUAAAGUAAUAUGAAUUAAAUAUUCAAUGUUAAAGAUUUAAAAUCUAUUAAUGGAUAUAUUGUUUUUCACUUGUUGAAGCAACUAUGUCUUGGAAGCCCUUCAAAAAAACACGCAUCGCAAGAUCCAUGAUAGAAUUAGAGUUUAUUGCUCUGGAUAAAGUUCAAAAAAAAACAAAAUAACUUUAAAUUUUUUAGAGGAUAUUUUAUGUUGACCAAAGUUAGUAUCAAGAAUUUAUAUUCAUUGUGAUAGUUAGUUGGCAAUUAAAAUGACAUAGAGUAACAUAUAUAAUGGUAAGUCUAUCUGUAUGUAUCGUAAAUAUAAUACUAUUAAACAUUUUUUUUGAAUGAAAUUAUUUUUAUUAAUUAUGUAAGAUUAAAGAAAAAUACUGUAGAUUUGUUUAUUAAAGAUUUAAUAAAAGAAAUUAUGUAUAAUUUGUCGAGAAAAGUUAAUUGAAAACUUAUAAAGAUAAAUGAAUACCAUGAUUGUAACCUAUAUGAUUAGAGAUUCUAAGAUUUAGUUUUAAUUAAUGGCGAUUUUAGCAAACAAAGAAACCUGGUUUCUUUCUAUAUCCCUUGCAUAUUUAUGCAGGGAGCUCAAAUUAGAUACUUUCCUUGGAAACAAGGCUUCACAUUGCGUUAGGAAUGGAUCGAGACUUGUCUUACUUGAAUAGAAUUGGAGAAGCCAAGAAUUUGAGUUAUUUUUUUAAAAAAUUAGCAUAGACGGUAUUUUUUUUUUGCAAACUAUUAUAAUAGAAAAAAAUUUAGGAAAAUAACACUUUGGGCAGUUGAGAUAUUAAGAAAUUUAAUAGGUUGCACUAUUCUCAAUAGCACAACUUAAUAUAAUUAAAAGAAAUAAAUGGUUAUGAUACUGGGUUUAGCACAACCUUUAACUAUAUACUAGACACUUGACCCGCGCGAUGCUGCGGGUUAUUUUUUUUUUGCAUAAAAAAUAUUAAAACAAAUAAAAAAUUAAAAAUCUUGGGUUUUUCUGCAAAGUUAUACCCAAAAUACUUGGGUUUGACUCAACGUCUCACCUAAGAGUAAUAUUUAUAAUAUUAAUAAUAAAAUUAAACUUGCAUGACCCAAGUUUAAGUGAGCCUGGUGUGAUAAUUAAAUAGAUUGAUUAAAAAAAACAAAGAAAAAAAAUCAACAGAAAUGAAAAACCUAAUGAAGAAAAAGAAAAAAAAUGAAUUAAUUGGGUUAACCCUUUAAAUCAGGCUACCCCGUAAAACCUGGUAUUCACAUCAUGAAAGUUUGAUAACUAAAUAGAAAAACAAAUGGCGGGUUUACCCAGAAUUAACUGGGUUAAACCAUCAAACCAAGUUAACCCGUCAAGCCCAGGACACGUGUCAUGAAAGUAUAAAAGUCUGAUAAUUAAAUAGAAAGAAAAUUAACUUCAACAAACUAAACUAAAUGAAAAAAAAAAUAACUUGUCAAAUCAGGCUAACCCAUCAAACCCGACAUCCGUAUCAUGAAAAUCUGAUAACUAAAUAAAAAAAAAAUUAACAUUAACAAACUAAAUCAAACAAAAAAAUUCAUUAAAAAAAUUAAAAAGAAAAAAAGGAAAAAAAUAGUUAUAUAAUAUAAUAUAUAAUAUAUAAUUAUAUAUUAUAUAAUAAUUAUAAUAAUAUAAUAUAUUAAUAAGUAAAUAUAUUAGUAAAAGGCACAUGCCCGCGAUGCCGCGGGCUUGUGGCAUGCUUGUGCAUUAUUGUGGAUUUGUGAAAAAAAUCAUAUAAAAAAAAUGUUACCAUCCACAAUAUUUUAAAGGAAAAAACUACAAAGCUAUAUUCUCAACCAGCUCAAUAUUAAAAAAAAAAAGACAAAAACAAUUAUAAAAAAAACAAAAAAAAGAAGAUGACAAUUUUGGAAGAAAAAAAAGCAAAAAAAUAAUAAAAAAAUGAAAAAAAAACAUGUGGGGAAAGUUAAAGCUAAAUUUUCAACCAGCUAAAAUAUUAAAAUCAUUUAAGAAAACACUGUAGCAAUCUAUAGUGUUUUGUGAGGAAAUAUACAACUAUAAUUCUCAACCAGCUCAAUAUUAAAAAAAAUCAAUAAAGAUAAUUUUGACAAAUAUAAAAAAAAAUGAAAGGAAAAAAAACAUCCAUGGAAACACUAUAACAAUCUAUAGUGUUUCAUGAGAAAAUCUACAGUUGUAAUUUUUAACCAGCUCAAUAUCAAAAACAAUAAAAACGACAAAGACCAUUUUAAAAAAAAAACAUAACAAAAAAAACAUAUGUGGGAAAACACUGUAGCAAUCAACGAUGUUUUAAGAAAAAAAAGCUAAAUUGUUAACUGGUUCAGUAUGAAAAAAAUAAAUUGACAAAACAUAUUUGGAAAAAAAAAAUCGACAAAAAAACAUGUGGGGAAACACUGUAGCAAGACAAAAAUCAUGUAGGGAAACACUGUAGCAAUCUACAGUGUUUUAAAUAACUACAAAGCUAAAUUUUCAAUCAGCUUAAUAUAAAAAAAUAAAAGCAAUAAAGAUAAUUCUGAAAAAAAAUUAUUUAAUAAAAAACCAUGUAGAGAAACACUGCAACAAUCUAGUGUUUUAAAGAAAAAAAUUAAAAAAUUAAAUUAUCAAUCAGCUCAAUAGCAAAAAAAUAAAAUCAACAAAAAUAAUUAUGAAAAAAAAAUAUAAAGAAGAAAGACAAUUUUGGGAAAAUUAAAAAAAAACAAUAAAAAAAAGUGGGGAAAGCUAAAGCUAAAGCUAAAUUCUCAACCAACUCAAUAUUAAAAAAAUAAAUUCGACAAAGAUAAUUUAAAAAAAAAACAUGUGGGGAAAACACUGCAGACAAACAAAAACCAUGUAAGGGAAAUACUGUAGCAAUCCAUAGUGUUUUUUUUUUUUUGAAAAAAGCUACAAAAGCUAAGUUCUCAACCAGCUCAAUAUAAAAAAAAACUGACAAAGACUAUUUAAAAAAAAAGUCAAUUUUGGGUAAAAAAAAUGAAAAAAAAACAUGUAAAAAAAAAAACAAAAGCGAGAAAAAAAACACGCGGGGAAAGCUACAGUGUUUUAAAGAAAAAACCAAAAAAACUAAAAUUUCAACCAGCUCAAUAGCAAAAAAAAUAAAAUCAACAAAAAUAAUUUUUUUUUAAAAAAAAAAAAUAUGUAAAAAAUGACAAUUUUGGAAAAAAAGAAAAAGAAAAUAAAAAAGUGGGGAAAGCUAAAGCUAUAUUAUCAGCCAGCUCAAUAUUGAAAAAAUAAAUUCGAUAAAGAUAAUGUUUUUAAAAAAUAUGUGGGGAAGCACUGCAGCAAAACAAAAACCAUGUAGGGAAAACACUGUAGUAAUUCAUAUUGUUUUUUUUUUUAAAAAAAAAACUACAAAGUUAAAUUCUCAACCAACUUAAUAUAUAAAAAUAAAAUCUACAAAGACUAUUUUGAAAAAAAAAAGAAUAAAUAAAUCAUAAAAAAAAAAACAAUGUAUGAUAACAUUAUAGCAAUCCACAAUGUUUUAAAGAAAAAAACUACAUAGUUAAAUUUUCAAUCAGCUCAAUAUUUUAAAAAUUAGUAUAGAUAAUUUUGUAAAUUGUUUUUUUUAAAAAGUCAAUUUUGGGUAAAAAAAAAAUAACAUGUAAAAAAAUGAAGAAGAAACAAAAGUGGGAAAAAAAAGCUUCAGAACAAAAAAAACAAAAGAAAAAAAAACGAAAAAAAACUGUUCCAGAAAAGAAAAAAAUAAUAAUAAUAUAAUAAUAUAAAUAUUAUAAUAAUAAUAGUAAUUAUUAUUAUAUAUUAAGUAUAAUUAAAAAGCGUGGGAAAGCUACAGUACUUUCCCCGCGUUUUAGAGUUCUUUAAUAUAUAUAUAUAUAUAUAUAUAUAUAUAAAUUCAAGUCCUCGAAUGUAUCGCUUGAUCAGGUAAAGUAAAUGGAGAAUAGAACUGAAGGCAUCAAUGAUCUAAUUUUUUUUUUUUUUAAUAAAAUAUCAUUCUGAAGCUUCCAGUCUUUGGCUUGGCAAAAAGGGAUCUGAAGAUGAUUUUCUCAUGUGAAAUUUAUGGAAUUUCGAAACCACACCAACCAACGAACUUAAUUUACGAUGAGCCGCUAAUAACAGUGUGUUUCGGAACAUCUAAAAUUUGAUUUUUUUUUAAAAUUAUUUUGAUAUGUAAAUAUCAAAAAUAAUUUUUAAAAAAUAAAAAAAUAUUAUUUUAAUAUAUAUUUUUUAAAAAAUAUUUUAAAUUGUAACAAUUAUCACAUUUCACUUAAAAUCAGAUAAGAUACCAAUAAUUAACGACCAUCAUGUAAAGAUUUAAAUAAUAUUUUUUAAUAUAUUUUUUUAAAAAUGACACUUUCAACAACUGUAAUUAUUACAAUAUUUCAUUUUCAUUUUAAAUAUGAUAAGAUGUCAAUGUAAAGAUUUAAAUUUGAAACGGUUACCAACCAUCUACUUGUACUACUUGUGAAAGAUAAUACAUUUUUUUAAUAAAUUUUUAAAUAAAAAAAACUUCAAAAAAUAAUUUUAAUUAUAAAUAUUAUCCUCGUGCUGGUCAUAUACCACUAUUUUCGUGUACAAGGGUCUCUUCCUUUUCAUUACAAAGCAAAGAACAAGCUGAAAGUAUUGACAUAGUGAUGGAAGGGACUUGUUUUUUUUUUUUUUUCACCCCACCAGGGUUCAAAUCUUCAUGUGCAUGCAUGUCACUCCCGCGGUGCUUUACAUGUUCACUGAGUUUGUAGAAUAUUCAAUGGGCCGUGAAAUUAGUCGUGGUACGCGCAAGCUGACCCGAAUACCUACAUAAAUUAAAAAAAAAAAAAAAGAACACGCUGAAACUAACAAUCAGGGGACGACGAUUAAUUCAAUUUAGACACGUCUAUGCACCGUCUAAUAUUGGACCACCAGUAUUAGGAUAGGCAACAGGCGUGACGAUCUAAUAGUUAAUUUUUAAGUUUUUUUAGUUUUAAAUUUUUUUUUUAUGUUUUUGGAUAGUUCUGAUAUAUUAAUAUUAAAAAUAAAAUUUAAAAAAUUAAAAAAUAUUUUAAUAUAUUAAAAAAAUAUUUAAAAAGACAAUAAAGAAAGAGGAACGACACGGAGGAGGAUACAUUGGAGGGGCAACAGGGGUUCUUCAAGUUUUGUUUUUUAUAAAAUAAAAAAGGAUGAAUUGAUUUUUUUUUUUUAAAGAUUUAUAUAUCUUUUACGAGGUAGAUAUAUUGGAUGCGAUUUCUUUUCUUUUUAUUUUUAUAUUUUUUUUUAUUAUCAUAUAAACAUUGUUAAUUAGGAAUAACAUGAAAUUUUCCAAAUUAACCCAAUCACUUUCCUUCCGUUACUCCUACUGGGUCGUCGAAUCUAUUUAAAUAUGAACAACCCACCUUCCUUGUUUCACAUGGUGUUAGCUGCAACAUGGCCUCCAUUGACUCUCUCUCUAAUCCAUUCACCCUCUCAGCUUUAGUUCUGAUCCUAUCUAUAUUCAUAGUCCAACUCUCCAUUAGAAAGUUGAACAAAAAGCAGGAAAAACACAAGUACCAUCCAGUUGGCGGCACGGUGUUUAACCAACUUCUCCACUUCAACAGGUUGCAUGAUUACAUGACUGAUCUUGCUGGGAAAUACAAGACUUACAGGCUGAUCGCCCCCUUCAGAAGUGAGGUUUACACUGCUGAUCCUGUAAAUGUUGAGUACAUACUCAAAACCAACUUCGAAAAUUAUGGCAAGGUAUCUAUUUCUUCUUACUGUGAUCUAUUUCGUCAAUAUCAGUACCGAAUGCUGGGUCCCUGUUCUUAUGAUGUGGAUUGUGUAAGAUUAGCCUGAUGAAUCAACACCCAGUUUUGAAUAUUCUCAAAAACCCUGCUAGUACCGUCGAUACUCGACGAUACAAGAAAAAAUUGGAGAAUCCAAAAUUAGGGGUUAGAAUUUGAGAAUUUGUUUUGACUGUUCACUUUUCCAUGGGGAUUUGAUUCCAAUGGCUGAAAGGGUAAUGGUUUAGGUUGCUCAAACUUUGUGCAGGGGGACCUUAAUUACAACAAUCUAAGUGGGUUACUGGGUGAUGGAAUUUUCACUGUUGACGGUGACAAAUGGCGCCAGCAAAGAAAGGUUUCGAGCUAUGAGUUCUCCACAAAGGUUUUGAGGGACUUUAGCAGUGUGGUCUUCAGGAAGAAUGUGGCAAAACUUGCUAAUAUAGUGUCUGAAGCUGCAAAAGCUAACCAGUCAAUGGACAUACAGGUUGGUCUUUCAUCCAAUGUCACAGAGUAAACAUCAUGAAUUGAUUUUCAAAGCACGUGACCUCCUAAGCAGGACGGGUACAAGAUAAUUUUAAUUGUGGGAAAAUAAUAUAAGUAUAUAACUAAAUUAAUUAAGAUCUAAAAAAACUAAAAGUUAUAAGUGUUUAAUAUAAAGUUAAGAAAUUUACAUAUAUUAUAAAAAGUUACUCUUAAAAAUUCUAUACUUUUUUUUUAUAAUUCACAAUUAUUCCAUACGAGACUUCACAAUUAUUCCAUGUCAUACUUCAUAGGUUAAAAACAUUGUACAAUUUUCUUAUUAUCAAUAUUUUUAAAUAUCUUUUUUCAAUAUAAAUAACCAUAUAAUUAUUUAACAAACAUCCCCAUAAAUAACUAUAAACUAUUUAUUUCAACCAACAAAAACAACCAUAAAUUAUUUAUUUUAUCAAUUUCUUAUAUUUAUUUUUUCAAGUUACAUUGAAAAUUCAACUACAACUAAACAAUAUAAUUAAAUGCAUUUCAAUUCUUGUCAACACAACAACACAUAUUAAAUACAUAUAACUAACAAACAAUUACUUUGGUUCCAAAAGUUCUUAUCCCGACCAUACUUUCACUAUUAACACCUAAUUUUUCUUUUUUAAUUAUGUUUUAUUUAAAAUCAUUUACAUCCUAUUAUCCCAAGAACAACACAUUUUUAUAAUUUUACUUUCCUUAAAUUAAUAUUUAAGAAUUCUAAUUCAAAAUUUAAGAAUUUUACGUAAACUUUGUUAAUCUUUACUUAAACUUGUACAAUCAAAUUUAUAAUAUCUUUUUCAAUAAUGAUAUGAACUUCAAAUGUUAACCAUUUGAAGUUUUUUAUUGUUUUUUUCUUUUAAUAUCAUGAGUGUUCUCUUUGCUCCUUUUCUCUCAUUUGAUUUUCUUUUUAAUUCCUGAGUUAGGUGUAUUCAAAACUCACUAUCUUAUCUAUCUUGCCUUAAAUCAUGGUUUCUCUUUAGGGUUUUAGUGAAGAAGCUAUCAUUUUUUUUUCUCUAAUGUUUUUCAGCAUUGGCUGGCAGCUUCAAGGAGAAGAAGAAGCUGAAUUUCCUAUUUUUUCAGCUUAUUUAUGAACAUACCAUUAAUGAGCCUAUAUGUUAUUUUUGAUCCGAUUAUUAAUAUUCUUGCAUGGCCUUUUAAAAUUUAUAUUAACCUAAAAUUUUAGUCCAAGAUAGAGGAAUGUUUCAAGAGGUUCCUCGUAAACUUUCAGCCCAAUCUAACGAAUGAAUUGAAAGUUAUGCUUGAUAUUAUAAAAUUAAUUAGUAAGUGAUUUUACAUCAAAAUCCAAUUUUUCCUCAAUUAUUGCUAGAACCAUAUCAAUUGUUUUAAUAAGUUCUCAGAGCCAUUUUUUUAUUUUAAAACAUAUUUAUUUUUUCUUUUCAUCAUUUAUUUCAUUUACAUACUUGCUACAGUUUCACGGUAAUGUUACUGAUUUUUAACCGAGACUUACACCAACACUUUUUCGCAUAGUUCUUUCUUAACUUUUAUUUUUCAUUUCCGUUUUAAUUCCUUGAAAUUAUUUUCUAAUCAUCAAAACACAUCCAUUCAAUUUUUUUUUUUAAUUCUUCUAUCCAUCAAAACCAUUACCGGUUUUAGCAUGAUAUAUAUUUCAUUUGAAUUAUUUUUUGGCAGCGUGGGCCAGUGCCCAAAUUGCCCACAUUCUGGAUCCGUCCAUGCUUCUAAGCUUAACUAGUUGUGCAGGACCUGUUUAUGAAAUCAACCCUAGAUUCGAUAUUCAAAGUUGCAUUCGGGGUUGAGCUAGACAGCAUGUGUGGAUCAAAUGAAGAAGGUGUCAAAUUUACCAGUGCUUUUGAUGAUGCAAGUGCAUUGACCCUUUGGCGAUAUGUUGACGUGUUCUGGAAAAUCAAGAGGUUUUUGAAUAUUGGAUCGGAAGCUGCAUUGAAGAAAAACGUCAAAGUGGUUAAUGAUUUUGUGUAUAAACUAAUCAAUAAAAAAAUUGAGCUAAUGCGUAACUCAGAAGAAGUUUCUUCUGUGAGUAUCUCUCCUUGAAACUAUUAUUUCUGAUAGAUUGCAGAGGCAUGAAUUUUAGCUGAUCUUACAUGGAAAAUGCAGUUAAAGAAAGAUGACAUUUUAUCAAGGUUCCUGCAAGUGACGGAGAAUGAUCCAACAUACUUACGGGACAUAAUUCUCAAUUUUGUGAUUGCUGGAAAAGACACAACAGCAGCUGCUCUAUCAUGGUUCAUCUACAUGUUGUGCAAGCAUCCAGCUGUGCAGACAAAGGUUGCACAAGAAGUAAGAGAAGCAACUAAAGUGAAAGAGAUCACAAAUUUUGCAGAAUUUGCAGCCAGUAUUAAUGAAGAAGCUCUAGAAAAGAUGAACUAUCUCCAUGCAGCAAUUACUGAAACUCUUAGACUGUAUCCAUCUGUGCCUGUGGUAAGAAGAAAUUAUGUGCACUUGCAAUUCCUGGCUGCAAGAAACAACACAAAUAAAUUUGUGAUUAUUUACUAAUUCUUCAAGACUGAAACUACGAUUCUUGAGCAAUAAAUGCCUUUAAUUCUCUCAGUAUACUUGAUGUUUCAACAUGCUUGUAUAGAGUUAAUAAUGCUUCCUAAAUAAUUGUAUAAUUUUUUUGUUUCUGUAUCUCAAAAUUCUUUGCUUUGCAGGAUGCGAAGGUUUGCUUUUCUGAUGACACUCUACCAGAUGGCUUUAAUGUGAGAAAGGGAGAUAUGGUGGCUUACCAACCCUAUGCAAUGGGGAGGAUGAAGUUCAUAUGGGGCGAUGAUGCUGAGGAAUACAAACCUGAAAGAUGGCUCAAUGAGGAUGGCGUGUUUCAGCAAGAAAGCCCUUUCAAGUUUACAGCUUUCCAGGUUAGUGGAAAUAAAGAUCUGUCUAAUUCACUUGAUUAACAUUCAAAUAAAUUUUCUGCUGCCUUUGCUGUGCAAAUCAUUAAGAUCUAUUUUCAGUGCUUGCUCAGUUUAACUUUAUGGACUCCCAAUCUCGUUGACCAAAUGACUAAAAUCAGACUUUCUGCUGGUUAACAGGCAGGGCCACGGAUAUGUCUUGGGAAGGAAUUUGCUUAUAGGCAGAUGAAGAUCUUCGCGGCUGUCUUAUUGGGCAGUUUCAUUUUUAAACUCGCUGAUGAAAUGAAACCUGUCAACUACAGGACAAUGAUUAAUCUUCAUGUUGAUGGAGGCCUCCAUGUUUGUGCCCUCCACAGAGGCAGUGCUUAGCUCAGUAUAUCUGUAAUGGUAUUACAUCAAUAAACAUGGGCGUAAAACCCAGCCCAAACCAUCCAAGGUAAACGAGGUUAAACAAUGUUUUCCUGGUAAGACGACAAGACGGAUCAUGCACCUUCUUAAGCAACUGCAGAGAUCUCUGAACUUGUUUAAACAACAGAAUAUCCAUCAAUUCAUAUAUAAAUAUGAAGAAACAAUGAAGCUAUACCUUAGAAGGGGGGCUGUAAGCAAGAGUCCAAGUAUGGAACGAACUCCAGCCUAUCAGCUCCUGAAGAAUAGGAUUUUAAACUAGUGAUAAGCUUUGUAUAGAAUGGAACUCUAAUUAUUGUGUUUGAUUAGAACUCUGCAACGUUAUCUCUACUGUAUAUAUAUACCUCUGUUUUCAAUGAAUAAACAUAAGAGUUUCCUACGUUCCAUAUAUAUUCAGCUGUCUUCUCUACUGGUAUCAGAGCUGUUGCACUAAAUUGCACAGUUUUUUUUUCUCUUGUCUUCGUCUCUUCACUCUCUUCUUCCCAUCUUCUAUUUAAAUCCUAAAUCACCAUGAGUGAUUUCCCAAACACAACUCUUGUUACCAUUAAUGUUACAGCUCAAGCUCCAGUGAAACUCAACAGCACCAACUAUUUGUCAUGGCGACUUCAGUUUCAGACGCUCUUCAUUGGUUAUGAUCUGCAAGGAUACAUAGAUGGCACAAAGCCAUGCCCCUCCCGAUAUCAUACCACCAGCACAGACAACCCCAACACUCAAGCCUUAAAUCCAGAAUAUCAUACCUGGAUACGUCAAGAUCAACUGAUUUUGAAUGCCAUCAUAGGAUCCAUUACACCAACCAUUAUUCCUUUUAUUGCUCGCGCCACAACAGCUCGCGAAGCUUGGAAUAUCCUUGCAGCCACAUAUGCCACUCCAUCUCGGGGUCGCAUCAAACAGGUGAAAGCUAAUCUCAAAUCGUUAACUAAAGGCACUCUUAGCAUCACAGAUUUCCUGCAAUAAGUAAAGGCUAGAGCUGAUGAACUUGCAGUCCUAGGGGCACCUGUAGACAAUGAAGACCUGACGGACAAAAUCCUAGAAGAACUAGGUGAUGACUAUAAAGAAUUGGUGAGAGCAGUGCAAGCCAGAGACAAUGCCAUAAGCUUUGAUGAACUCCAUGAAAAAUUAUUAAUGUUUGAAGCCUCACUCCAAGCAGCCCAUAAAGGUAUUAAUUUCUCCCCUACAGCACAUCUCUCCAGUAGAACUCAAAGCAGGUAUCCUUUCAACAUUGUUGGCCGAUCAACGUCCAACAACUCAGGUGGACACUGGCGCCCCUCAACCUACUCACAUCAUCGCUACAUAGGACAAGGUUCAAACACUAAUGGCACCACUAACAACAGCCGCUCUCAGCCAUGACCAUAUCUGGGGUAUUGCCAAAUUUGUAGCAUUCAAGGACAUACAGCAAAAAAAUGUCACUCCUUUCGUCUUGUUCCACUCCACAGCCACCCAAAUUCCAGUCCUCCUCCAUGGCAACCACAAGCCAACCUUGUUGAAACUAAUUCCCAGACUAGCUCUCCAUGGCUUUUGGAUAGUGGGGCAUCCCACCACAUCACAACAGAUCUUUAAAAUUUGGCUCACCACUUGCCCUACACCGGCACUGAUGAUGUUAUGAUAGGGGAUGGUAAAAGUCUGCGAAUUACACACUUGGGUUCCUCUACUCUUCAUUCAUCCGCUCACUCCUUUAAGCUUAAAAAUAUAUUAUGUGUGCCUGAUAUUAAACGCAAUUUACUAUCUAUAUAUCAAUUUUGCGUUGAUAAUAAUGUAUCUGUUGAGUUCUUACCCUGAUGUUUUUUUGUGAAGGACUUAUUGAUGGGGGAAAUUCGCGCAAAGGAUAAAACCAAAGAAGGUGUGUACGAAUGGUCGUGCGUUGUCACCUCUCAUGCCUUUUCCAGUCUCAAAAUACCUUCCAUAAAUUGGCAUUUUUGAUUAGGUCAUCCAGCUGUUUCUGUUUUAAAAACAAUUUUAACUAAGGAUAAUUUGAAUUCGUCUUCAGUUUCAAAAGACUUUGUCUGUAAUGCAUGUCACUGUAAUAAAAGUCACAAACUACCUUUUUCUGUCUCCACCUUGGUUUCUCGUAAACCACUUGAAAUAAUAUUUUCUGAUGUAUGGACGUCCCCUAUUUUGUCUAUUGAUAAUUUUAAGUACUAUGUUAUUUUUGUGGAUCACUUCACUAAAUACAUAUGGUUUUAUCCGUUAAAAAAUAAAUCUGAUGUCAAAACCAUCUUCAUACGCUUUAAAGCAGUAGUAGAAAAUUAUUUCAAGACCAAAAUUGUGACUUUGUAUUCUGACAAUGGAGGUGAAUAUAUUGCGCUAAAGGAAUUCCUUGUUAUGCAUGGAAUAUCUCAUCUGACAUCACCCCCUCACACCCCUGAACACAAUGGCUUUGCUGAACGCCGUCAUCGGCAUAUUGUAGAAACAUGUCUCUCCCUUUUAACUCAUGCAUCUUUACCCCGUAUUUUUUGGUCAUAUGCUUUUUCUACCGCGGUCUAUCUUAUAAAUCGCAUGCCAACAACUAAGUUACAAAAUCUUUCACCUUAUGCAGUUAUUUUUCAACAUUCCCCGAAUUAUGAAAAGCUUCGUAGUUUUGGAUGUUUAUGCUAUCCUUGGCUACGACCAUACACUGCUCAUAAACUAGAUCCUCGUUCCAAACCAUGCAUUUUUCUGGGAUAUUCUCUUUCACAAAGUGCUUAUUUAUGCUUAGAGCCCGAGUCCUCAAAAAUUAUUGUGUCUAGGCAUGUGUCCUUCAUUGAGCAUAUUUUUCCAUACCAUGAUUUACACAAACCGGAGCCUCCAUGCAUAUCCAAUUCAAUUGACAUAUGGAUUCCACCUGUCAUCACCAUUCCCUCGUCAUCUUCUACACACUCUUCUACGGCAACACUUGAAGCAAGAAAUUCCCCGCUAGUGAUCCUUCAUCCCUCAUCAGGAACCACCACCCAACCAUCUACCACCAUUCCUAUAUCUGCCCCAGAUGUCCUUAACCCCACAACAACCAUACCCCCACCACCACCAAAUCUUCCUACUCAUCCUAUGACAACCCGGUCCAAAAACAAUAUUCACAAACCCAUACAAAAACUCACAUAUACUACCACUCUUACCCCUCAGCCUUAAGAACCCACCACAUUUGCUCAGGCCACAAAAGACCCACACUGGCAGUCUGCCAUGAAUGAAGAGUAUAGUGCUCUGUUGCGUAAUGGCACUUGGACUCUAGUCCCCCCUGUUUGUGCUUCUAACUUGGUUGGUUGUAAGUGGAUUUUCAGGAUAAAACGAAAUGCAGAUGGAACAGUGGCUCGUUACAAAGCCAGACUUGUAGCCAAAGGUUUUCAACAGCUUCCGGGACUGGACUACCAUGACACAUUCAGUCCAGUUGUGAAACCUACAACAAUCCGUCUGGUUCUCAGCAUUGCUGUCAGUAAUGGAUGGCCACUUCGGCAACUUGACAUUAACAAUGCAUUCCUGCAAGGCACCCUUGCUAAGGAUGUAUACAUGGCACAACCUCCGGGCUUCCAUGAUCUAGACAAACCUGAGUUUGUCUGUAAACUCAGAAAAGCAAUUUAUGGCUUGAAGUAGGCACCCCGUGCGUGGUAUCAUGAACUACGCAAUUUUCUACAUGCAUCAGGAUUCUCUAACUCCUUGGCUGAUACAUCACUUUUUGUCUUCCAUCAGCAAUCUCAUCUCAUUUAUCUCCUGGUCUAUGUUGACGAUAUUAUUGUUACAGGGGAUAAUGAACAGGCAGUCAAUCAAUUCAUUCGGUGUUUAGCAGAUCGGUUCUCAUUAAAAGAUUUGGGCUCUCUACAGUAUUUUCUGGGCGUUGAAAUUCGAUCUCAUCCCACUAGUGGCAAGCUCCUCUCACAGCACAGGUAUAUUAUGGAUCUACUGCAUCGCACCAACAUGGCUCAUGCAAAACCCACGUCAACUCCCCUGCCUCCAGGUUGUAAACUAAGCUUAAACAUGGGUGCACCUAUGGCUGACCCUUCACACUAUCGUGCUACAAUAGGAAGCCUUCAGUAUCUAUCUCUAACUCGGCCUGAUAUUUCUUUCGCUGUAAACAAGCUCUCCCCAAUUUAUGCACAAGCCCUCAGAUGUACACUGGAAACUGGUGAAACAUCUCCUUCGAUAUUUACUUGGCACUGUCGACCACUGUCUGCUACUUCAUCGUCAUUCACCAUUUUCGGUUCAUGCUUUUUCUGAUGCAGACUGGGGGGGGGGGACAUGGUAGAUUUAUCCUCCACCAGCGCCUAUGUCAUCUACCUUGGCCGGAGCCCCAUCUCCUGGUCUUCCAAAAAGCAACACACCACGGCACGUUCAUCCACUGAAGCCGAAUAUAGAGCAGUUGCAGACACAGCAGCUGAAAUCAGUUGGGUGUGCUCUUUAUUAUCUGAACUACAUUUUCCAGUGAGUCACACUCCAGUCAUCUACUGUGACAACAUUGGUGCCACCCAGCUAAGCUCUAAUCCUGUGUUUCACUCAAGAAUGAAACAUGUUGCUAUUGAUUUCCAUUUCAUUCGACAAAGGGUUCAAUCAGGUGCUCUACGAGUGUCUCAUGUAUCUUCAAAUGAUCAGUUAGCCGAUGCAUUAACAAAAUCACUACCCCGCUCGCAGUUCUGGCUUCUUAAAGACAAGAUUGGACUCAUUGACCCCGUCCAUCUUGAGGGGGCAUGUAAGCAAGAGUCCAAGUAUGGAACGAACUCCAGCCUAUCAGCUCCUGAAGAAUAGGAUUUUAAACUAGUGAUAAGCUUUGUAUAGAAUGGAACUCUAAUUAUUGUGUUUGAUUAGAACUCUACAACGUUAUCUCUACUGUAUAUAUAUACCUCUGUUUUCAAUGAAUAAACAUAAGAGUUUCCUACGUUCCAUAUAUAUUCAGCUGUCUUCUCUACAGGGGCUUGGACCGCAUCUCCAAACUGUAUCUGCUCACGUCCAGGAAAGUCCCGCUCUCCUCGGAUUUCUUUGUUUUUCUUCCACAUAUUAAAAAGUGAUCAUGUAGAUGUUCAACAACCAUAUGCUUGAACAAGCCUGUGAAUGGGGUUUAGAUACUAAAAUUUGAAUUCACAUGCAGCCAAAUUAGAAAUGAAAUUGAACAGAAUUUCAAGUACACCAAGUCGUCCACUACAUGAAUCCUUGUAGCAUCCUCUUCAAACUAGAGAAAAAAACCUACAGGGGCCGUAAUAGAGUGAUAUCCUCCACUAAAAUCCUUGGCAAGUUUAAUGCAUUAACCCGUAGCCUUAUCGUUCUGCCCACGGCAAUUAUAAGUACAUGCCCCCUAACAAAAAUCCUACGGAUGAUCCAAAAUUCUUGGAAACUCUGUGUCGACCACCUGACCACAAACACAUCAGGUCCGAGUAUUGCACUCGAACAAAUAGUUAACAUUUCUAAAAAUAAAAUGCUGACAUAAAUAGCUGUCAUUGCAAAAAUUAGGUUAGUCAAAGGCACUACCAUUACAAAAAUCACAGUAGCUUCCUGAGCAAAAGGUUUUCCCUGUAAAAAUGAGAUAACAAGAUGAGACCCAUGGCACGUACUUGCUCAUACUUAAUACAUCCCAGAGAGAGUCUGAGGGCCACACAUCGCGAGUUAGAUGCAGAACUAGCAAACCCCGUAUCUAGCUCCUUCCUCGUGAGUGAAUCAGUGAAAGCACUCUACUCAGCAAAGCCUUAUUCCCAAACACAGUUGUGAUCAGUUACAUGGAUGAUUUCCCUCUACUCUAUUCUGUUUUAGCCAACUUUAUACAUGUUUCAUGGUGGUAUAAGUACCCAAUUCUAAAGCAAUUUUAGCAAUGUAAAACAGUCAUAAUGACAAAAACUUCAAGAAGUCAAGUUUCAAGUGAGCAUGAACUUUCACCACGAGUUCUCCGCGAACAAUUUUCGACCAAUCUAAUUCAAUGCUAAACUUUACGUAGCUAAUAACACAGACAUGCAUGUUGAAAGAAAUCAAGCAUUACCCCCAAGUUGUCAAGAAUUCACAAGAAUGGGAGGUGUGCAGAGGUGGAUGACAUUUUCCUGAUGGCUUUAGAAUGAAAAAGGUUGACGGACAUGGCAUAUGCCAUGGGUAGGAUGCCUUACAUUUGGGGAGACGAUGCAGAGGAUUUGCGGCCAGAAAGAUGGCUCAACAAUGGGAUUUUCCAACCUGAAUCACCAUUCAAGUUCAUAGCAUUUCAUGUUAGUAUCUUCUCUUCGUUUCUUGCAGACAUAACGUGUGAAACAGUUUCCAAAGUUGUUGGCUGUCCCCUUGCAGGCAGGUCCUCGGAUAUGUCUGGGCAAAGACUUCGCGUACCGGCAGAUGAAGAUACUAUCCAUAGCCCUUCUUCGGUUCUUUCGCUUCAAAUUAGCUGAUGACAAGAAAAAUAACUUACAGGACAAUGCUCACACUUCACAUUGAAGGAAGUCUGCAUCUUCGUGCAAUUGGAAGGACCAAGUCAUGAAGAUAAAAUAAGUCAAGCAAAUAAUUAUGGCCUGGUGAAUCUUGUUUGUACUGUAUACAUUGAUACACAUAUCAAUUACAAACAACUGUGAUUUCUACCGGUAUGUUAGCUGCAGCUGUCGCACGACUGUGUCACCUUGGAGAUAAAAUUUGCAAGGAAAAUUUUCAUUUGUCCUAUUUUUCCUUUUCUAAACUAUGUGCCACCAGCAACAAGCAGCUUGAAUUUAUCUAAUCAUCGUUAUCAAGCUUUAAUUU
Molecule: long non-coding RNA, 17872 nt
Filed under: Populus tremula
Lineage: Eukaryota; Viridiplantae; Streptophyta; Magnoliopsida; Malpighiales; Salicaceae
Description: long non-coding RNA (PTRE_LNC000925)
Source: RNAcentral